UUCACUCUGAGUCAUUCUGGAGAUGGAAGGUGCCUUUUAUAGCUGCUGAGAUGCAGGCUGAUAAGCAGACCUGUCUCAUACAACGAGGACCGCUUCGCUAGCCAUGUCCGUUGAGUUGUUUGGGCAAUGACGCGUUUACCGCAUGAGCCCUUUUCGGUCAAGAGACUCUCGCUAUGACGCAUUGAAAAAGAUGUAUGAGCCUGAGAAUGUGCGACAGCUUCUGAUUGGGCGUUUGAGCUGAGAUUUGGUUCUCGGCGAGUUCAACACAGAGGCGAGUACGACCGCCUGCGCCAAGUGUCAGUAAGUCCGUGACUGUGCGUCCGGUUGACCGCCAUGAGCUGAAAAUGCCAUGAGCCAAGAGCGAGUUUGGCCAGCUGAAAUGCCUGAGCCUGCUCCGUGCCUUGUGAGUUCUUGAGGACCGCAUGUGCAGCCGCCAGAGCAAAGAGCCAGUCAGUGAAACAUCUGCAGAGCCACCGACGGAGAUGCUCGAGGGUGAAAUUCCUUUUGAGAGACUCCUUUCUCACAGGUGAAAUUCCUGUUUACUCACAGGGUGAAACUCCUUUGUGAAGUCUCAUAGGGUGAAAUUCCUGUAUGAGAAGCCGCCUAGAAUCUGAAGAGCCAAGCUGAAAUGCCAGAGCUGCCAGUUGCCGAGAAGCUGAGAAGCUGAGACGCAUUCUAGAGCAAAGAUCUGCUUUGACAGACGCCAUUCAUGGUCAGAAGAGCAAGCCAGAGCCAGAGCCAGUAAGUCCCUUGAGGCAAUAAGUGCCAAAUAUAGAGCCACAGACGAGAGCAAAGAGCCAGUAAGUCCACAGUGCAAUGAGUGCCAAACGCCCGUUAUACGCCAAUAAGUCCGAAGCGCAAUAAGAGCAUUUACCUGCGCCAUAGAGCCAGAGUAUAUCCAAAGAGCUACGUGUGUCAUAAGUCCAAAUACCAAGGGCAACACAGGUCAGAGCCAGUGCUGAAAUGCCAGAGCCAGAACCAAUGCCACGAACAAAGAGCCGGUAAGUCCUAUGAUAUGAGGCAAUAAGUGCCAAACGCCUUGAGAGCAACGUCAAUGCCACUAAGUCCUUCAAGGCGAUAAGCGCAUGGUCGCCAUUCGAGCCACUAAGUCCAGAGAGCGAUAAGAGCCAUUUCGCCUGAGCAAGAGCCAGUGAGUCCACAGAUGCAAUAAGCGCCAAACGCCAGAGCACAGACAGAGCCGAAGAAGCCAGGGCCAUAGAGCCGAGGCCAGCCAGUUGCCAAUAAGUCCAAAGAGCAGUGAGAGCCAGAGCAGAGCCAACGUCACACACUAUUCAAGGAGUAGGCGGUGAACCUCUUAGCCAGAGGACGUAACUGACCGAACCUGUUUAUCUAGUUUUGAGAGGAGUAGGUGAAAAUCCGAACCUCUUGGGUUAAUAAAUCAUGGACCAAAGAGUCCCGCCCGAAAUUUGAAUCGUAGCGAGUUGUAUUUGUAGACUUUUUCCUUCAUUAGUUUUUUAACAAUAACAUUGAGUAUUAAUU
Molecule: unclassified non-coding RNA, 1500 nt
Filed under: Yarrowia lipolytica
Lineage: Eukaryota; Fungi; Ascomycota; Dipodascomycetes; Dipodascales
Source: RNAcentral